This 324-nucleotide ribosomal RNA is filed under the name Paramecium sp. Its description in RNAcentral is "SSU rRNA". It matches the Rfam family "Eukaryotic small subunit ribosomal RNA", at positions 626 to 970 of the family's 1831-position model. The record is from RNAcentral. RNAcentral also lists the same sequence under 1 other name. Lineage: Eukaryota; Ciliophora; Oligohymenophorea; Peniculida; Parameciidae.
GCUCGUAGUUGAAAUUCGAAUUAGCUGAUAGAGGGCUUAGGCUAUCUAGCAGUUGGUUCUCCGUCUACAAUCCCUCUUGGGCUUCAGGGUUGCAGAGGGCUGAGUAGACAAUUUACCUUGAAAAAAUUAGAGUGUUCCAGGCAGGUUUUCGCCGGAAUACAUUAGCAUGGAAUAAUGGAAUAGGACUUAGGUCUUUUGUUGGUUUUAGGACUUGAGUAAUGAUUAAUAGGGACAGAUGGGGGCAUUAGUAUUUAAUUGUCAGAGGUGAAAUUCUUGGAUUUAUUAAAGACUAACUUAUGCGAAAGCAUUUGCCAAGGAUGUUUU